ACAUAAGAAUAGAUCCUCAUUGAUGUUUCCAAUAGAGUUCAAGAAAACUUCUCUUGCACAGACUCUCCCAAGGCGGGAUUAUAACAAAGUUCCCUGAGUCAUAAUUCUUAAGAUCACUCCAAGAUUCCAAUGAAAUCAGGUACCUGUUGCUGCAACUCUGGAGCAAGAUGCUUAAUCUCUCCCAAAUCACUAGAGUUUUUGUCGGAUGAGUCAGAAUUCACUAAAGAAGCUGUGUUCUGUUUCACUUGCCUCACAGUUUACAACAGCUGUUUAUUGAGAACUUACCAAAUUCAAGGCACCAUGUAGACUAGGAAUUGGAGAGAUGUCCCACCUCUGCUUCUAGUCACUGCUGUGGUGACUUUGAUCAGCUUUGCACAGGGACAGCCUGACAUCGCUUCACCUCAAGACCUGCUCUUGCCUCCCACCCUGGGGCUCCUCUGAAGCUGGCCACUGAUAUCUCCAGGACCCACUCAGCACUCAGUAUUCUUCAGUAGAGAGGAGCUUUCCCUUGAGAAGGACCACCAGUGCUGGAUCGUGGGGGAUACAGAAUGCAAGGAACUUUGGUGGUCCAGAAACAUCUGACUGCACCUCGGAUUCAGUUAAUUCCUAUGGACCCAAAGCCACUGCACCCAGCAAUGAAUAAAUAUCUCUGCCCUGGAA
Balaenoptera ricei (Rice's whale) is the source of this 660-nucleotide long non-coding RNA. RefSeq lists it as uncharacterized. NCBI's taxonomy places the organism in Eukaryota, Metazoa, Chordata, Mammalia, Artiodactyla, Balaenopteridae. The record is from RefSeq and is a predicted model, not a curated record. The transcript is spliced from 6 exons.